AGAGUUUGAUCAUGGCUCAGAGCGAACGCUGGCGGCAGGCCUAACACAUGCAAGUCGAGCGCCGUAGCAAUACGGAGCGGCAGACGGGAGAGUAACACGUGGGAACGUACCCUUCAGUUCGGAACAACCCAGGGAAACUUGGGCUAAUACCGAAUACGCCCUUACGGGGAAAGAUUUAUCGCUGAUGGAUCGGCCCGCGUCUGAUUAGCUAGUUGGUGGGGUAACGGCCCACCAAGGCGACGAUCAGUAGCUGGUCUGAGAGGAUGAUCAGCCUCACUGGGACUGAGACACGGCCCAGACUCCUACGGGAGGCAGCAGUGGGGAAUAUUGGACAAUGGGCGCAAGCCUGAUCCAGCCAUGCCGCGUGGGUGAUGAAGGCCCUAGGGUUGUAAAGCCCUUUCGGCGGGGAAGAUAAUGACGGUACCCGCAGAAGAAGCCCCGGCUAACUUCGUGCCAGCAGCCGCGGUA
Molecule: ribosomal RNA, 468 nt
Filed under: uncultured Pseudomonadota bacterium
Lineage: Bacteria; Pseudomonadati; Pseudomonadota
Description: bacterial SSU rRNA
Rfam family: Bacterial small subunit ribosomal RNA
Source: RNAcentral